GCAGAUGGAGCUCCAAUGGGGUUUUGGUUAAGGACCCAUCUGAGUCGGGCUGGCGACUUUAAAACUAGCGCUGCAUGGGAGGCAACCCAUGUUUUUCUUGCUUUAUUCUUUGCCCUUGUUUUUCUCUUGCUUUGUUUGAGUUGUGUUUCUGUUGUUUUUUUGUGUUUGUGCAGGUUGGUGCUUGGGUAUGAUAGUUUGUGUGGAUAGAGACAGGCAGACAUCGUGGGACACUACAAACUCAC
Molecule: long non-coding RNA, 242 nt
Filed under: Salvia miltiorrhiza (redroot sage)
Lineage: Eukaryota; Viridiplantae; Streptophyta; Magnoliopsida; Lamiales; Lamiaceae
Description: long non-coding RNA (SMIL_LNC003134)
Source: RNAcentral